GUGGAGACCCGGACUGGCGCCGGCGCCAGCUGGAGGGAGACGCCCCCGGGCAAGAGCUUACGAUUCUUCAUCAACUCGUAAAAUGAGAUCGCCGCGGAGCUCGAGCCUAUUUGGCGUCUCCGGAGACUAGCAAGACCCUCUGAAAGACACCGCGUCCCCAGGGAUAAUCCCCCGUGUCCGGCAAAGCUGCCCCGCUCGAGCGCGAACCCUGGGACCCAGCGCGGGAGGCAGACCAGCAGCUGGCCGCUGGGCUGUGAACGCCAGGACCGAGCGGAAGCUUCCCGCCCGGCCGCGAUCGGUGCCGCGGCUCUCAGGGAAGUGGCUACGCGCGUCCCUCGGGAAAGCAGUGGACAGAUGAUUUGAACAGCCACUUCAUAAAAGAAGAUGUAUGAAUGCCCAGUAAGAACAUGACAAGAUACUCAACAUCACUUGUCUUUAAGGAACUGCAAAUUAAAGGCACUAUAUACUCACAAAAAAUGGCUAAAGUUAAAAAGACUGACAAUAACAAGCGUUGAAGACCAUGUGGAGCAACUGUAACUUUCAUACACUGUGGGAAUGCAAACUGGUAUAGCUACUUUGGAAAACAGUAUGGCAGUGUUUUAUAAUAUUAACCAUAAUUUAUCAUGUUACUCAGCAAAUCCACUCCUAGCCAUAG
This 655-nucleotide long non-coding RNA is filed under the name Homo sapiens (human). Its description in RNAcentral is "non-protein coding GATA2-AS1:10". Lineage: Eukaryota; Metazoa; Chordata; Mammalia; Primates; Hominidae. The record is from RNAcentral.